UCAGAGCACUAUACCUCUGGUUCACAGCAGGAUGGCAGCAAUGCUACAGGCUUCUUCACAUCUUGCACUCUCCCUAUUGCUAUAGAAACGCCAGUGGUUUAGACAUUCAGCUUGCCAAAUUUUAAUCACUUUCCAGUGGCUCUCAGAGCUGUGCUGGUUUGCUCAGCAACAAAAGUGACGGCUUGAGGAGUCAAUGGGUAAUGAGAAGGCAUUCUUCUCUCCUGCUUAUUUCUUUUUUUCCUCCCUCCAGUUGAAGCUGCUGCUUUCAGGAAGGAAGCCUACAAAACCACUAAGUUGUGUACAUCAUAAGCUCAGCACCUGACUGACAGCUGGAGCGGGAAGAAUUAAGAUGUGAACAUCUUCCUUCAAAGCACCACAGUUCAUUUUUAUGGCCAAGAGCACGGCUGUGUCCGUGCAGUAAAAAUGCAUUGAAGAGAGAGGAAAAGAAUGGCAGAUGAAAGCGGUGAGGCUUGUUUGCUCCACCGUGCUGCUGCUGGGUGAAGUGGAAGCAAUGCCACCUUCAGCACGUGGCACGUUAUUUGCAGGAACGUGUCAGCCCUAGAACAUGUCAAGUGGUACCUCCAAGUUCAUUGAGGAAAGCAGAGCUAUCUCUUUUGUUGGAAGGCAGAGCUAUUCAGCAUUAAUAAUGAAACCCGUAGAUGGUUUUAUGACAAGCAAUACGAAAACCUUGCAGGAAUGGAUAUGUGGGCCUCAGCAGUAACGUGAAUGUUUAUGGAUACAACUUAAGGGGUAACUUCUCAGCCUAGCAAGCAAGCAGGAGGGAAAUGACAGACUGAAAUAGCACAGCUUCCCACCUGAGGUCAGAUACUUCUUAUCUACCUUCUAUUUAUCUAUUUUCAGAGGUGUGCUUUACAUAUUCCUACAACCUCACAUGCUCUGCAAGGCACAUCAGAGGGGACAGGUUUGUGGUUGCACUGAGCAGAGCUAUGCAGCAGCACUCCUAAGCUCAGGGCUUUCUGCUGGGCAUCCUGUUAGUCCAGAGCUCACACACCUGCAGGAAGUGCAAUCAGCCCUUCUGAUUUGCAAUUGCAGGUGAAUUCAAUUAGCUUUUAGCUGCUUAUAGGCAGUCUUGAAGGCAGGUAGAAGAAGGUUAUGGCAGUUACAGCAGAUCCUGUGCUGGAGCUGGAAGGGGAAGAUUCCUUGGAUAGCUCAAACUCAAGAAGAUCAGAAAGGUUAAUUCUCUUUCAUUAUAAUGAGGUGAAUCAGUCAACCAAAGAGGCAGCUGAGAGCCAGAGCCAUCGCAAGGGAAGAGGUGGGCAAGCAUGGAACAGUGUGUUGAGCAGGAUAGUCAAGCAGCAGCACAGACAGGAGAGCAUCCGUUCUCAUCCACCUCUGAGUCUCUCCUUCACUCAGCUUCUCUUCUCAUCUGCUCUCCAGUCAGCCUGGAAGGAGCCUUUGAUAUCUAGCUGCUCGUCACUGCAAGUUUACUGCCUACGUCUUCCAUCGGUGCCAAAGUCAGAUGAGGUGAACAUACAACUGGCCUGACUCUUCCUUCAGUUACUCUGAAAUCAAUGCAGUUAUGUCAACAAAAGCUGAACUGAACUUGGUGUCUCUCCAGAUCUUCCCAAGCAAACUCCAGCUGGUGGGGUAUGCAAAUGGACUGAAGGACUGACAGAAAGAUGAGAAUAGGAAAAGUAUCCAUUUCACUUAGUAACAGGAGGGGAAAGGCGCUGACACACGAGGAAACAUCAAAAGAACUUACAUACAUGUGGGCGAAGAAGUAAAAUUGAUAAUAUCUUAAAAACUGCUUCCUUGACCUGUAAGAACUGAUCCAAGAGUACAUCAGGGUGUGGAAGACCAAGAAACCGAAUCACUGUUAGAGUCUUAUCUACAUCCUAACCAGAAGGUGAAAUAGAUAAAAUUGGAGUGAAUUCAACAGAGACUCCAGCUGCAGGAGCUGCUGAAGAGAUAUAACAAGAUGUCCAGAUGAUAUCAGUUUAAAAAUGAUGUAAUUGUACCAUUGUUUUAGCUGUCAGUUCUCUGCCAUCUGUUGUGCAUUUGCAGUGUGUUUUCAUAGAAAAGCUUUUUUUUUCUUAUGUCAGAUAGACUCAAAUCAAGGAAAGAAAACCAAGUCCAGCCGGGAGCCUGUGUGUGAGAGAACACGGUUUCCAUAUUCUUGCUUUGAAAUGAAAGAAAGAAAACGUGCCAAGCUUACUUUCUUUUGACCACAGUUCGUUUGCCAAUCACAGAAGUAUACGUCGCCCUAAACCUCUCCAGAGUUUGAGCCAUCCCUAUUCCCAGCUGUGAGGAGGCAACUGCAAAAGAGAGCGUGUAGGUUUUACCAAACUGAAAGACCCGCCAGCAGAAGGAAGGAGCAGUUCCCUGCGCAUUCCAGGUGCCCAGAAGCAGCUUCACUUGGACUUGAAACAAGGGAUGUACCACCGUAGCUGGAACUGAAGAGAGCUGCAAGGCUUGCCAUGUGCUAGCACCUCAUGAAAGCACCCAAAGAGUUGGGUGGUCAAGGUAAACAGUUUAUCCUCCUAAAGUAGUUGUUGGAAGGAAGGUGUUGGUGGGAGGAGAUGUGAGUUCUGGGUUUGGGGAGAUUCCUCCCUCUGUCUGCCUUGUCAGUAGGGGCACUUUCAUUUCACUUUCACCCUGUGCAACCUUCCUG
This is a non-coding RNA of Coturnix japonica (Japanese quail), 2632 nucleotides long. NCBI's taxonomy places the organism in Eukaryota, Metazoa, Chordata, Aves, Galliformes, Phasianidae. The record is from RefSeq and is a predicted model, not a curated record.